AGUGAACGCUGGCGGUAGGCCUAACACAUGCAAGUCGAACGGCAGCACAGUAAGAGCUUGCUCUUACGGGUGGCGAGUGGCGGACGGGUGAGGAAUACAUCGGAAUCUACUUUUUCGUGGGGGAUAACGUAGGGAAACUUACGCUAAUACCGCAUACGACCUACGGGGGAAAGCAGGGGAUCUUCGGACCUUGCGCGAUUGAAUGAGCCGAUGUCGGAUUAGCUAGUUGGCGGGGUAAAGGCCCACCAAGGCGACGAUCCGUAGCGGGUCUGAGAGGAUGAUCAGCCACACUGGAACUGAGACACGGUCCAGACUCCUACGGGAGGCAGCAGUGGGGAAUAUUGGACAAAGGGCGCAAGCCUGAUCCAGCCAUACCGCGUGGGUGAAGAAGGCCUUCGGGUUGUAAAGCCCUUUUGUUGGGAAAGAAAAGCAGCAGGUUAAUACCCCGCUGUUCUGACGGUACCCAAAGAAUAAGCACCGGCUAACUUCGUG
RNAcentral lists this ribosomal RNA (492 nucleotides) under uncultured bacterium. RNAcentral's name for it is "partial 16S ribosomal RNA". It matches the Rfam family "Bacterial small subunit ribosomal RNA", at positions 29 to 507 of the family's 1533-position model. The record is from RNAcentral.